GUUUACCGCGUUAGCGAUUGCAGCGGCAUCUUUUUGUCCAUUUUACGACGGCUAUGGUAUGUCCUUGACUUUAAUGGGCAAAAAAUAUAGCGGAAAGCGCGGCCCUAU
Molecule: small RNA, 108 nt
Filed under: Croceitalea dokdonensis DOKDO 023
Lineage: Bacteria; Pseudomonadati; Bacteroidota; Flavobacteriia; Flavobacteriales; Flavobacteriaceae
Description: Flavo-1 RNA
Rfam family: Flavo-1 RNA
Source: Rfam by way of RNAcentral